UACGUAGGGGGCGAGCGUUGUUCGGAAUUAUUGGGCGUAAAGCGCGUGUAGGCGGUUCGGUAAGGCGGAUGUGAAAACCCGGGGCUCAACCCCGGGCCGGCAUCCGCGACUGCCGGGCUGGAGUACGGGAGGGGAGAGCGGAAUUCCUGGUGUAGCGGUGAAAUGCGUAGAUAUCAGGAGGAACACCGGUGGCGAAGGCGGCUCUCUGGACCGUAACUGACGCUGAGACGCGAAAGCUAGGGGAGCAAACAGG
Molecule: ribosomal RNA, 253 nt
Filed under: uncultured bacterium
Lineage: Bacteria
Description: partial 16S ribosomal RNA
Rfam family: Bacterial small subunit ribosomal RNA
Source: RNAcentral